This 434-nucleotide ribosomal RNA is filed under the name uncultured bacterium. RNAcentral describes it as "partial 16S ribosomal RNA". It matches the Rfam family "Bacterial small subunit ribosomal RNA", at positions 29 to 507 of the family's 1533-position model. The record is from RNAcentral.
AGCGAACGCUGGCGGCAGGCCUAACACAUGCAAGUCGAACGAACCGCUCGGGGUUAGUGGCGGACGGGAGAGAAACACGGGGGAACGUGCCUUUAGGUUCGGAAAAACUCAGGGAAACGAGUGCUAAUCCCGAAUGCGCCCUCCGGGGGAAAGCUUUACCGCCCUUAGAGGCGCCCGCGUGUGACUAGCUAGUUUGAUGAGGUAAUGGCCCACCAAGGCGACGAUCAGUAGCUGGUCUGAGAGGAUGAUCCGCCACACUGGGACUGAGACACGGCCCAGAUUCCUACGGGCGGCAGCAGGGGGGAAUAUUGGACAAUGUGCGAAAGCCUUAGCCAGCCAUGCCGCGGGAGUGAUGAAGGCCUUAGGGUUGUAAAGCUCUUUUGUCCGGGAAGAUAAUGACUGUACCGGAAGAAUAAGCCCCGGCUAACUUCGUG